This 1521-nucleotide long non-coding RNA is filed under the name Lupinus angustifolius (narrow-leaved blue lupine). RNAcentral's name for it is "long non-coding RNA (LANG_LNC000407)". The record is from RNAcentral. Lineage: Eukaryota; Viridiplantae; Streptophyta; Magnoliopsida; Fabales; Fabaceae.
ACUUUUCAUAAUUAUAGUAAACAUAACUACAACCUCGACAUCAACAUUAAGAAACUUUAUCCUAGUAUACCUUAUACAUAUUCGUAGCUACAAUAAUUGUAGUCCAAUCCAUACUUCUCUCCGUAUAUAAAUACCCCAAUAAGAUCUUGGUUUUCACUACAAAAUUUGAAGCUUCAGUUUUCCCAUAUCCAUCAUCAUCCAUGGCUUCCCACACUCAAACUCAGGGCAGUAACCUUAUCUAUUCCACAUCACCGAAGAGUGACGGCGGCAGCGGCGGCAGAAGGGUGGCUUCUUUGUCCAAAGGGCAGCAGUGUUUAUGUUCACCAACAACACAUGAAGGGUCCUUCAGGUGUCGUUUCCAUCGCUUAGCAGGGUCAUCUAAUUCAUCCACUUCACCAUGGAUGAAACGAUCAAAAUCCAUGCCUGCUAAUAAGGCCACACGAUGAUGAUGAUGAUGAUGAUGAUCACAAAAUCUAUAUACUACUAUAUAUAUAUUUAGUGUUUCAUGUGUACCUUUAUGAAUUCUUGUUUGUUACUACUGCUAUUACUUGAAAAUAAGAACCUUGUUUCAGGUAAUAUAGCUCUUUUUUUUGGGCAUAAAUCAUUCACUCUAAGGAUAUUGGCUAAUUUGGAUUUGAGCCUAUUGGGACAUAUCUAGUUCUUAAUUUAGCUAUGUUCGAUUUUUUUUUGUAUAAACAAUAAUAUCUCAUCACUCUAUGAGUAAGAAACUAAUAUUUUUCUGGAUGUGUGACUGUCUCUCCCAUCAAAUCAAUUUUUUCUUGGUUAAUUAGAUGCUUGGGUGGGUCCAUGAUGAAGUUGCUAGCUCUCAAUUUACCUCUCAUAUGUCUAAACAUGUUUUGAUCACAUGUAUAUGUAUAUAUAUCUUGCUCAUUUUAUCAAAUAUAAUCUCUCUAUCUCUCCUAGUUGCAUUUCCAGCAAGUUUUCAUUAAAGAUUUUCUUAUUCUAAGCUAAGUAUUCACAAGUUUUUUAAGAGUUUUAUUUAACAAAUACAAAAUAAGUAGGUUAACACAAAAAGUAAGUCCAUAUUAAAAAUUCAAGUUUAGCAUCUAUCCAUAUGUUAAACACAAAAAAUUUCCACUACAAAUUUACUUGUUUUACUUCCGAAUUUGUUAAGCUUCUUCAUCCUUCUAUGAGUUUAGAUCUUAUAAAUCAUAUAUCAUAAUUCAUAUGCCAAAGGUUGCUUUGCCAGCUUCAUAUUUAGUAACAUGAGCAUCAAACUGCAAAAGUUGAAGUCCUUUCGAGUGAGAUAAUUUUCACUGUCUCACAAAGUGUUCCUCAAGAAUAUGUGACGAAUUUUGAUUAAUCACUAAGCAUCAAUCAUCUUUUAUUAUUUCAUUCAUCUCUCUUCUCAUAAUUAUUUAUUGAAUAUUUAAAUUAAUUAACCAAUCAUGUAUUAAUGCCCAUCUAGUGUCAUGGGUACACAGCCAAAGUUUGUAGCUAUCUAUUAAAAGUUUGUAACUAAACAAAUAAAAUAUAGUACUUUUUAGUUAUUAUAUGCUC